CCUACGGGAGGCAGCAGUAGGGAAUAUUGGUCAAUGGGGGAAACCCUGAAGCAGCAACGCCGCGUGGAGGAUGAAGGUUUUCGGAUUGUAAAGCUCUUUUGAUAGAGAAGAAAAUGACGGUAUCUAACGAAUAAGCACCGGCUAACUCCGUGCCAGCAGCCGCGGUAAUACGGAGGGUGCAAGCGUUACUCGGAUUUACUGGGCGUAAAGAGCGCGUAGGCGGGAUAGCAAGUCAGAUGUGAAAUCCUAUGGCUUAACCAUAGAACUGCAUUUGAAACUGUUAUUCUAGAGUACAGGAGAGGUAGGUGGAAUUCUUGGUGUAGGGGUAAAAUGCGUAGAGAUCACGAGGAAUACUCAUGGCGAAGGCGACCUGCUAGAACGUAACUGACGCUGAUGCGCGAAAGCGUGGGGAGCAAACAGGAUUAGAUACCCUUGUAGUC
Molecule: ribosomal RNA, 440 nt
Filed under: uncultured bacterium
Lineage: Bacteria
Description: partial 16S ribosomal RNA
Rfam family: Bacterial small subunit ribosomal RNA
Source: RNAcentral